Small nucleolar RNA from Dipodomys ordii (Ord's kangaroo rat), 130 nucleotides. The record is from Ensembl. NCBI's taxonomy places the organism in Eukaryota, Metazoa, Chordata, Mammalia, Rodentia, Heteromyidae.
AGCACUUAUGUGUCUGUCUUUGUUUAAUUUGUAACAAAGCCUUACAGACAGGUGCAAACAGUAAAUCCUCUUUUGCAACCCAGAACUCAUUGUUGAGUAUGACAUUUAGGUACAUGUAAGAAGGAAUAUG